Molecule: ribosomal RNA, 829 nt
Filed under: Streptomyces sp. S9I10
Lineage: Bacteria; Bacillati; Actinomycetota; Actinomycetes; Kitasatosporales; Streptomycetaceae
Description: bacterial SSU rRNA
Rfam family: Bacterial small subunit ribosomal RNA
Source: RNAcentral
CAAGUCGAACGAUGAAGCCCUUACAGGGGUGGAUUAGCUGGCGAACGGGUGAGUAACACGUGGGCAAUCUGCCCUUCACUCUGGGACAAGCCCUGGAAACGGGGUCUAAUACCGGAUAACACUUCCUGCCGCAUGGUGGGGGGUUAAAAGCUCCGGCGGUGAAGGAUGAGCCCGCGGCCUAUCAGCUUGUUGGUGGGGUGAUGGCCUACCAAGGCGACGACGGGUAGCCGGCCUGAGAGGGCGACCGGCCACACUGGGACUGAGACACGGCCCAGACUCCUACGGGAGGCAGCAGUGGGGAAUAUUGCACAAUGGGCGAAAGCCUGAUGCAGCGACGCCGCGUGAGGGAUGACGGCCUUCGGGUUGUAAACCUCUUUCAGCAGGGAAGAAGCGAAAGUGACGGUACCUGCAGAAGAAGCGCCGGCUAACUACGUGCCAGCAGCCGCGGUAAUACGUAGGGCGCAAGCGUUGUCCGGAAUUAUUGGGCGUAAAGAGCUCGUAGGCGGCUUGUCACGUCGGAUGUGAAAGCCCGGGGCUUAACCCCGGGUCUGCAUUCGAUACGGGCUAGCUAGAGUGUGGUAGGGGAGAUCGGAAUUCCUGGUGUAGCGGUGAAAUGCGCAGAUAUCAGGAGGAACACCGGUGGCGAAGGCGGAUCUCUGGGCCAUUACUGACGCUGAGGAGCGAAAGCGUGGGGAGCGAACAGGAUUAGAUACCCUGGUAGUCCACGCCGUAAACGUUGGGAACUAGGUGUUGGCGACAUUCCACGUCGUCGGUGCCGCAGCUAACGCAUUAAGUUCCCCGCCUGGGGAGUACGGCCGCAAGGCUAAUA